RNAcentral lists this ribosomal RNA (596 nucleotides) under uncultured bacterium. RNAcentral's name for it is "bacterial SSU rRNA". It matches the Rfam family "Bacterial small subunit ribosomal RNA", at positions 112 to 704 of the family's 1533-position model. The record is from RNAcentral.
AAUACAUCGGAACGUGCCCGAUCGUGGGGGAUAACGAAGCGAAAGCUUUGCUAAUACCGCAUACGAUCUACGGAUGAAAGCGGGGGAUCUUCGGACCUCGCGCGGACGGAGCGGCCGAUGGCAGAUUAGGUAGUUGGUGGGGUAAAGGCCUACCAAGCCGACGAUCUGUAGCUGGUCUGAGAGGAUGAUCAGCCACACUGGGACUGAGACACGGCCCAGACUCCUACGGGAGGCAGCAGUGGGGAAUUUUGGACAAUGGGGGCAACCCUGAUCCAGCCAUGCCGCGUGCAGGAUGAAGGCCUUCGGGUUGUAAACUGCUUUUGUACGGAACGAAAAGACUCUUUCUAAUAAAGAGGGUCCAUGACGGUACCGUAAGAAUAAGCACCGGCUAACUACGUGCCAGCAGCCGCGGUAAUACGUAGGGUGCAAGCGUUAAUCGGAAUUACUGGGCGUAAAGCGUGCGCAGGCGGUUAUGUAAGACAGAGGUGAAAUCCCCGGGCUCAACCUGGGAACGGCCUUUGUGACUGCAUAGCUAGAGUACGGUAGAGGGGGAUGGAAUUCCGCGUGUAGCAGUGAAAUGCGUAGAUAUGCGGAGG